ACUAAUAGCAGCAAAGAUAAGAAUGCAGUGAGCAGAAAUAAGAAAGAAUAGAAAGGAGGCCACCAGCUUUAGCAAGAAAAGAGAGAUCAAUUCAUUUUUUUCUGGAGCAAGAAAAUUAGAACCAUCAUUGUCAUGGAAAGGGUUAAGCUAGACUUGGUCAAUCUGGCCCGAUUAUUGGUCCAAGUUAGUGACCCGGUUGGGCAAAGCAGGCAUGUUGCUACAGUGAACAAGUGAAUUAAAAUUUAAAUGAAGCAAAGCGGGAGGAGAAAAAGUUGCUUACCUGGUCUACUGGAGGCGAUGAAGACGAUAGUGAAGCUCUUUCUGUGUGAUCGGGUGACACUAGCCGGGCACCCGUUUCAACCUUCCCUUUGUUCCUCUAGCUUUAUUCUUUCUGUUUCUGAUGGUUCGGAGUGGUGAAGCUGGAGACGAAUGCCCAGGCUGAUCAAUACUUGCAGUUUCUCUGUUUUCCCUUAUUCACUUUGCUUGCGUUCUGGGGACGAAGGCAAAGCUGGGAGCGCUGGCUUUUUGCUCUCUCCUCCUUUCUCUUUUUUUAGUCAGUCCUUUCUUUCUUUAUUUCCGUUCGUGCUCUCUGUUUUUCUUUGUGUUGUUCUCUGCUUUUUUUGUUCGUCUUUCUCUGGUAGUCUCUGUCUAUUCUUUCCCUCUUAGUGUUUCUCUGGUUCUCUCCCCACUGGUUCGUGGCCUUCUCUGGCUUUUAUAAAGCCAUCUAAUGGCCUCUGUUCGUGCGUUCGUGCCUCGAGAUCAUGGGGGCACGUUCGCUCCUGUCUCUGAGAAGAGUCAGGACUGUUGGCCACGAUAUAUAUAUAAUUCGAACAAAAGAGAUUCUUAUUCAACUCAAACAAA
Molecule: long non-coding RNA, 861 nt
Organism: Populus nigra (black poplar)
Lineage: Eukaryota; Viridiplantae; Streptophyta; Magnoliopsida; Malpighiales; Salicaceae
Exons: 2
Source: RefSeq, a predicted model, not a curated record